CCUACGGGUGGCUGCAGUGAGGAAUAUUGGUCAAUGGACGAGAGUCUGAACCAGCCAAGUAGCGUGAAGGAUGACUGCCCUAUGGGUUGUAAACUUCUUUUAUAUGGGAAUAAAAUGUUACACGUGUGGGAUUUUGUAUGUACCAUAUGAAUAAGGAUCGGCUAACUCCGUGCCAGCAGCCGCGGUAAUACGGAGGAUCCGAGCGUUAUCCGGAUUUAUUGGGGUUAAAGGGAGCGUAGGUGGAUUGGUAAGUCAGUUGUGAAAGUAUGCGGCUCAACCGGAAAAUUGCAGAUGAAACUGGCAGACUUGAGUACAGUAGAGGUGGGCGGAAUUCGUGGUGUAGCGGUGAAAUGCUUAGAUAUCACGAAGAACACCGAUAGCGAAGGCAGUUCACUGGACUGCAACUGACGCUGAGGCUCGAAAGUGUGGGUAGCAAACAGGAUUAGAUACCCUUGUAGUC
This 460-nucleotide ribosomal RNA is filed under the name uncultured bacterium. RNAcentral describes it as "partial 16S ribosomal RNA". It matches the Rfam family "Bacterial small subunit ribosomal RNA", at positions 338 to 795 of the family's 1533-position model. The record is from RNAcentral.